CUGGGGUCAUCAAGAGCUGGACACGACUUAGCAACUGAGCAACAACCACCACCUAUCUUUUGCUUUUGAAAAAGAAAGAUUUCCCUCUCUUUGUCAAAGUAGUAUAACUAUCUCCUAAAUGUAAGUGUGUACAUUUCAAUACAUUUAGCACUUACGCCUCACAUUGUAGGUCAUCAACAGUCAGAAAAUGAAAAUGUGAAAAGUACUGUAUUCAAUCUUACUGAAAAAACUAAAGCAAAACAAAAGCUACAGUUUCUUCAAGGAAACAUAGGAGAAAACCUCUGCACCUUGGAUUUGGCAACGAGUGUUGAAGUAUGGAACCAAAAACUCAGUCUGUGAGCAGGGGAAAAAAGAAAAACUGGACUUUAUCAAAAGUAAAAGCCUUUGCUCUGUAAGAGACACUGGUAAGAGAAUAUAAAGACAAGUCGUAGACUUGAAAAAAAUGUUUACAUGUCACGUCUCUGGUCAAGGACAUUUUUCCAGAAUGUAUAAAGAACUCUUCAACCCAAUUUGAAAAGUGGAUUACUAAUAAGCUCAUGGGGAGAUGCCCAAUUCAAUCAAUAUUAGUAAUUGUUAGGGGAAUGUGACCUAAAUCCACAACAAGCUACCAUUAUACCCUUAUUGAAAUGACUAAAAUUUUUAAAUGGUAGCAAUUUUGGAUAUUUGGAAAAGAAUAAAGUUAGAGCCUCACUUUUCACUUUACAUGAAGAAAUUCAAGUCUGACAACAUGGUAUACUCAUGAAGACACAGAGCAACUAGAACUACUCAUGUUGCUGGUGGGAAUGCAGAAUGGCGCAGCCACGUUGGAAAAGGGUUUAGCGGUUUCCUUUAAUGUUAAACAUAUGUUUUAUCUCGUGACCCACUGGUCCUUGUCCCAGUUAUUCAAAUGAACUGAAAAUUUACAUUCACAAAAGCUUGUACAUAAACGUGUCUUAACAGUUUCACUGACAAUUGCCAAAACCUGGCGACAACUAGGACGUGCUCCGGUAGGUGAGAUGGUGAACGGUUUGUGGCGCAUCCGUGCGACGGAAUACCAUCCAGCAACCAGAAGGGACGGGCUCACGACGCACGUGACAACAUGAACGCGCCACCCAUGCAUUGGGCUCAGCAGUGAAAGAAGCCAGCUGCAAAAGGCCAUGUCUUAUCUGAUAUCGUUUAUAUGACACUCCGGAAAAGGCAAGACCACAGGGACAGAAAACAGAUCAGGGGCUGCUAGUACUUAGGGGAGGGACGUACUGAACCUCCGAAGAGCUGCACCCCGGAACGAGCAGGCUGCGGAACUUCUCCGCAUGCUGACGUGGUGCUGGGCACACAACCCCAGGCAUCUGUCAAAACCCACAGAACCUGUGCAUCUCCGAGGGUACAUUUCACUGUCCACACCACCCCCACUCGCCACCCCCAGCCCUACCAAAAUAAGCCUGUUUUAGGAUGGAAAGCAGACUGUGCCAAGCAAGCUCUGUGUUGCAAAUACAACACGGUGCUGUGAGGAGAGCAGGAGGAGGAGCUGGCCUACGAAUCCUGGGGCAACAAUCUUUCACUGGACAUGGUUAAACUGAACUCAUAAACACAGUAUUCUAGGUGGUAAGUUUCUCAAGGGGCACUACGGGUACCCUUGAAUAAGUAAAUUUAUAGAUGGUGGGAGCAGGGAAAGUAACAGAGUUGGGGGAUGGUGAGUGAACCGGUAAUGAGAAAAUACCAGAAUGAACUCAUACUUGAUACAGACACCAAUAAAUACAGACGUGUGUGCACACGUGGGUUAUUUUCAUAUGUACAUAUUUCCUAGCUCUGUCCAUUGAGAGACUCCAGAAGCAGUGACGACGCUAGAGCAGUGAGCAUUUCCAGUGCCCAGAUCCUGGCUUCUAAACCCUGUAUAUUCUCCAGUAAAAGGAACCAGGACCACGGCAGAAUGGUGAUUCUAGGGCUAGGGCAGAGAACAUGUAAGAUGAGUCUAAAGUACUGUCUAGUGCUAGAAACGAAAGAAAUGCUCAAAAGUGAAUAAAUGAGAAGGAUGAGGGCCUGUCAAAUGGACACGGGAACUUACCUAAAAGAGCUCUCAAUCCAGUGUCCAAAGCUACAAUAAUUUGAGCAACAAAAUUAUAUUAAUGCUACGAUUAGAUUACAGCUCAAAUAUACAUAUUCCUGAGUCCAUACUGAUACGAAAGAGAAGUACACAUCUUCCUUACAGAAGAAUUUCAAAUAAUUAAUGUAGAAAGACUGAGGGGAAAAAAAACCACCACUAAAACACCACCUCAAUGUUACUUGCUAUAGGCAAGACCCACGGAUGAAUGCUAAAAUCAGUAGGUGAAACUUUCAGGAAAAACUUCAAAAGCUCUCCCCUCUGCUCUCUGUUCAUUUCUGUGGUGGUUUUCACAUAUGUUCACCAGUGCUUUGCCGUUCAUUCUGGCAGGAUAGAGGGUGACUCCCCACUCCCUGGGCGUGGGCUGGAACGGAUGGUGACUCCCCUCUCGUGACUGCGGAAAGGGAAAAAUGCUAAAUGAGGCUGGGUGACACCACCUUAACCAAGUAGGUCAAGGUUAGCAGUACCGGUGAUAAAACCACGUUGAUGUCAUGAACUGUGACAUGGUAUGAUGAGAAAAGUACCUCACGUCAUGGCAUUCCUCCCCCAAACCCUAGUCUAAUCCUGAGAAAGCAGUAAAACCCAAACCGGGGGUCGUGAUACCCGACUCGUAUUCCUAAAAAAUGGUAAGGAGAUACAUUAAAAGCAAGGAGGGACUAAAAUUGGCUGUCAUGGGUCAGAGAAAAUUAAGGAGAACUGACUAAAUGUAAUGGUUGAUCUUAGAACAGAAGAAGGCUAUUAGCAGUUAAACUGGUAAAACCCAGAUAAAUGAAUGAAACUGUCGCUUAACUCAGUGUUGAUGCAAAGUUAACUUAGGGGAAGCUGGUGAGCGGUAUAUUGGGACUCUGUACUAUUUUACUUCUCUGUAAAUUAAAAAAUCUUUAAUAUCUAAUUAAGGAUAUACAAGAAUUCUAUGGAGAAAUUACAAAGCCUUAACGAGAGACAUUCAAGAAGACAGAAAUAAAGGAGAACUAUGCUUUGUUCCAUUGAUUAGAAAACGCAAUACUAAGAAGAUUCUCCCCAGAUCAUACUAAAAAUCCCACGGUUUCUGUGUUGGAACCCUGGCAAGCUGGUCCUCAAGUGACUGCAGGCGCAAAAGGCCAGGAAUCAACAAGAUUCUUGAACGACAACGAGGUUAGAGGCCUUGCUGUGCUAGACAUCAGCGCCGGUUACCAAGCGGCAGUCACUGAGGUGCUGUGGCGCCGAUGCAGAGAGAGACAGACGGCCUAAGGGGACGGGACUGACUGUCUAGAAACAGCCCCCACACAUACGGAUGCUUCUCGUGUAUCAGAGGUGGCCUGCAGAUGGUGGGUCGAGGAUCUUCAGGGAUAGCUGGCUGUUCACACAAGGGAAAUGUUGAACUGGACCCUUACCUCACACCAUACAUCAACAGUUCAUCAAUGGCAUUCCUGGCAGUUACAAACGAAUGGAGAGAAAACUAUAAAAGGCUUUCCGGCUGAAUCUAGAAAGAGAUCUUCAUGACCUCAGGGUUUGGAAAAAUUUUCUAAGACUUCAGCAAUAACCAUAAAGGAAAAGAUUGAUUCAUUCAACUACAUUAAAAUUGAGACCUUAUGGCUCAGCAGGUAAAGAAUCCACUUGCAAUGCAAGAGCUAGAGAAAACGUGGGUUUGAUCCCUGGGUCAGGAAGAUCCCCUGGAAGAGGAAAUGGCAACCCACUUGCAGUAUUCUUGCUUGAAAAAUGCUGUGGACUGAGGGACCUGGUGGGCUACAGUCCAUUGGAUCGCAGAGUCCCACGCAACUUGGCAACGAAACACCACCAAUCAUCAGACAACGUAUUUAAGAGUAAAAAGCCAACCAUAGGAGAGUAUCCACAAAAUACAGAUAAUUCCUACACAUCGGUAAGAAAAAUGUUAGCAACUUAAUGAAAAAUAGGGCAAGAGACAAGCACAUCACAAAAGAGGAAUCCAAAUGGCUGAUGAGCAUGUGGAAAGGUGUUGUGCCUGACUUGCAAUCAGAGAGAUGUAAAUAAACUCAGGGAGCUCACAGCCCAUGGGGGCGAGGGCAGACUUCCAGCAGGAAGCCGCACAGACAUCACUUAGUCACACCCUGGAGAAGGGCUCCGAGUGAAGGGCUCUUUGCCUGUGACAUUCCCGGAGAGCGCAGGAAAGGGACGGGUAAGUCUCAAAGAAUGCAUGCGCAUUCAAAGGCUCCCAGGUCUGGGACCUGGCAGGAACACUUAUGGCCCCCAUUCUAGAGAUUUGGGGCUGAGAUUCAAGUACCCUGGGUUACAUUAUUCAGUUAUCAAAUGACAGAGCUAGAACUUCAUCCAGGAUUCAAAUGUUCUCUCAAAAAAAACGGGGGGGAAAGGAAAAAUGAGCACAAAUACAUAUUUUUAUGUCUGCAUCACUUGUAUACAGAAGGAAGAACAGCAGAGCGGUGGCUGGAAAGUGAAGCUACUUUCCAAACACCCAAGAUGACAAGUGCCAUCUCCAAAGCCCCAGGGCCAAGGGUGAGCCCCCUGACCCCUGACAGAGGUCCAUUCCUGGUGUUUCAGGAGAUUUAACUGCAUGUCACUUGGCUCAUCAGAGCAGUCAGGGUGUGCACCCGCCAGAGGAGAAUGUGCUAUGCUUGGUUUUAUCCUGAGAGCAGUAUAUGGGGCCCCCACAGCAAGGGGCAAAAAAGGGGCUCCACAUUUUGGUUUUCCCCAAUAGACAGGAAUGGCACUUUUUUGCCCACUCCUAUGUCAGAUGUGGGGUCUGCCUCCCCUAUCACAGGCAGGCAGCAGUCCGGGCCACAAACCCCUCCCCCAUUUCCCACCUGUAGUCCCAGCCUGGUCAGGCUCCUGCAAGAAGGUACAGGGAGUGUGGCGGGGUUGGGGGGUGGAUUUGUAUCCUUGGCAGACACAGUGGCAUACUGCCCCUUCGGGCCAAGGUUUGGGGUAAGUGCUGUGUCCCAGGAAACCUGGCUUCUCAUCCCCAACUUCAAGGAGACUGUGGCUGGUGUUUUGCAAAGAUGUGAGAAAACCAACAGCCCUGGCCUUGCAACUGCAGAGCAGGCUGAGCCCGUGGUGGACUCAGCAACCCGUGUGGACACUGAGGCCCCUAAGAGCCCUGCGUCCCGGCGACACUGGAGUCACACUUUCAUGGGACAGUUCCAGUGCUCGGUGCUCCAAUCCUUGGCUGCCCUCGCCUUGUCAAGGCCAGAAUCUGGGCCUAAGUUUUCAAGGCAGAACAAAACAAUUUUGUUUUCUAGGAAAAUGGGAGGUCUGGGAUGGCGAACGCAGCCUCUGGCGUGGCGACUACCACAGCUGGCGACACCGGCUGCCAAGUCUCACCCUCUCUCCAGAGAACAGGAACCAAACAACACAGCAUCUUUCCUUCUAGCCAGUGGGGAGAAGAGACUGGAUGAUUUUCAUUUCUUCCCUUACGGUAUUCACGUUUUCUAUCCUGGAUGAUACUUUCUCAAGCCAGGAAACAGUCUUUUAUGGAAGUCACGCCUGUCUGUACUUUGCCCCAGCCCACAGCCCUGCACAUCCAUCCUGGAGUUACAUCAGAAUAUGUGAGAGCACCCUUCAUCCUUCCACCUGACCUGGAACUGCCCAGGUGCCCAAACAGAGCUCUCCACCUACCACAGGUAUCUCCCCAACCUUCUGUUCCCGGGAGCACCUGGUCUCACUUCCUUUGGCUUUCCAUCCAGCCUCUGCCUGGUCCAGUCCCUCACUCUCACAGGAAGUCCAGCUGAUCCCCAACACUGGAGCACACUUGGCUUCUACACGAUGCAGGAAGGGAAUUCCCGUCUCUUUCUUCUCCAGUUGUGGCCUCAUUUGUCACAGCAGCGCUGCAGGAUUGCAGCUUUGAUUCGCAUCUCUCGAUGACCAAACCAGUUUAAAAGGCUAAAAAUGAUGCCCUGGACCACACAGACCAGGCCAGGACUUCAGCACCAAGUCAGACCUGCCAUAAGGCCCCAGGCCCUCCCCACUGCCCCCUGUCCUCAGGAGAGUCCCUCUGGUGUCUGGGCCUUCACCUGAUUCUCCCCCUGGUGACUGAUUAAAAUCCUACUGAGCCUUUCACAGGGCCUUCCAAGGCUCUUAGGGCUGCCCCCUCUUCUGGAUGGGUAUGGGGCUUGUGUGUGCUGGGACCACAGUUCUGCCAGCUCCUUGGCCCGGCACCUUGCCUUCCACCUCCCCCCAUACCCCUCCAGGGCCUGGCACAGGCGUGUUCCCUGAGCCAGUUCUCUCCACGAGGACAGACAAGCCGCCCCUGUCCUUCCCAAGCCAAAGCCCCUUCCCACCUGCCUGCCUCAACCUCCGCCCGCGCCCCCCCCGCCCCAAAAGUCCACCCCCUCUUGGCAGGUUUGCCAAAGCCCUGCAGAUCCUGCCACUGUGAACAAGAACCCCCCUCCCCAGGGCAUCCGGACAGCUGCAGGCAGACCCUGCGUGACAUUGCUGAGCUGAGGCCCCAGGUCUGUGCCAGCUGCUCAUGCCCGGCUCACAGACCACAAGCCAGCAUUGCCACGUCGCCACCUGUGUCUCCACUCAGAGGAGAGAAGUAAGGGACACGGACAGAAAGUAAAAGCCAUUCCCACAACAGCUGCCAGGAACAGGGCAGAGAGUGGAGUGAAAAUGUAUAUUCACAGCUGGCACCCAGUUCCGCUUAGGAAAAUACCUUGCUUGAGUGGACACCUGUUGUUUGUGCCUGUCCAACAGCUAGGCCUGGUUUCUGGGAACAGCUUCUCAAAUCUUCCUUGGGGGAGGGUGGGCUGCUCCUUCCCUGUUCCUGAGGCCACAGGAUACAGGUACCUACUGAUCAUCCCCAGAGAGGGCCUGUGGCCCAGGCCUUGGCCUUAGGAGGCACAGAGGCAGGUCCAAAGAUGGCUCAUACCCCAUUGGGGGCUGUUGAGAGCCUGGCCCCAGACUCUGGCAAAUGUGAUGGGGAAAGUGGUGACCUCUUUGGGCUGGGCUUACUGAGCUAGUAGCCAUCUUGCCCCCUUCAGAAAGUGGCUGCCUGAGGACACGGCCAUCCCAGGGGCAAUGGGGAGGGGAGGGGGGGCAGAAGGAACAGGGAGGCCGAGGGGAGAGCACAGAAAAGGGGGAGAGAGAGCGCGAGCAGACGAGAUCAUCCCAGCCCCCGGUCCAGCUGUGCCUGAAACAGCUGGGUCCAGUUGUGCGAGCCAAACCAUGUCCUCUCUGUGUUUCAGCUAGAUGGACUUGGGGUUCCAUUGUUUGUUACCAAGAGAAUCUUUCGGAAUGUGUGCGACAAACUUGGGGGUGAGGCUUGAGCCCAAGGGGGUGGGUCUGAGCAGUGAGGGUCACGCAGGAGCUGGGUUAUUCACACUCCCCUCAGUGUGGUUUGGGGGUUACAGGGCAGAGGAACAAAAGCAGGUGGGAAGGAGCUCCCUCCGUGAUGCCCAGGGGGUUGUCAGAAGGUGGCUCCCUAAAGCCAGAGGCUGGUGGCGCUGCUGCACGGUUGUUUAAAGGGAACUGUGGGACGUGCUGGACCUCACAUCGCUCAAAGGCAUGCAGCCUAGAUUGAACAUGAGCAUGACCGUGAUGUGGAGAGCCACAUGUGACCAAUGCUGGGGAGGACACUGGCCUUCUCUAGUCCCAGAGGUGAGGGCACGGAGAACCCUGGUCCCUAGCGCCCACCUCCACACUGGUGCACAGGCCUCAGCACACACAAAUCUGAGAGAAGGAAAAUGGCUCUGCAGGACUAAGGGUGGGGUCCAAAAAGCGGGGGUGCUCAGGAGCACACGCGGCAACAGAGCCAGGACAGGGUCAGCCCCCAGAGAGCACAGGAAAUGGAAGGGGAGCAACAAAGCCACCCACACGACUCGGGCAACCCUCCGGGGUCUCUGUGCUCCAGGAAGUCGCCAUCCACGUCUCCUAAGACACAGUUCCCGGGGAUGGUUCCCGGCAGCAAGAGCAGCCCCGGGAAACGUUAAUAUACAAUGGAAUCUGGGUUAAGCACUGUCUUCUCCAAGAGUUGAGCUCACAGGACAUUCCCAAGAAACCUCUGGAGAGGUGGGGAGGAAAGUUUCUGGAGGUCUUUGGAUGAAGAAAACAAAAAAAUGGCCUUGAUUUUCAAGGCAAAAUUACAGAGGAAGAAAAAAAUGUUUUUAAUCUAAUUAAGAGCGAUCUUUUCACCUUCAUCACAACAUCGCGGAAACGUGCCAGUUCUUAACUUCACACAAUAAUCAAAGCAAUUAGUGAGGGAGAAGCCUUGGAAACCGGUGCAGAUGUUCUCAGAAUGUUUAAUGGGGAAAUGAGUUGCAGGCCUCGUUCUCAGCAUCCGGCUCCAGGCCCUGGCUACCAAAUCCAGACAUCUGCUUGGGCCCCACCCCCAGGCCCCGAGGGUGCGGGCUUGAGAAACACAGGUCCCUUCCCAGGCCGCCUCCCAGCCAGGCCAGAUCCAGGGCUGAGAGGCUCCCCACAGCUCCCCACGCCAGAGCCUGGACACAGAGCUACCCCAGAGCUGGUAAGGGGGAGGCUUAACGUCAAAAUUAUAUUAACAACUGAUGUCAAAGAUAAUCGAUGCAGCCUGGCUCCCCCCUCACCCCCCACCCCCCCCCCCCCGGGUCCCUGCUGGUUGCAGGAGUACUGGAGGCAGGGAGACGGCACGGAGCCCUGCAGAAAACUCUCAGCUCUGACACAGCCCCCACCUAGUUUGCACAAACACCACUUCAUGAAAAGACAUGGUGGCCUCGAUCUGGUGUGGCCCCCCCAGGCCCCAUUCCAGUGCUGCUAGCCUCUUCAUGGGCCCAGGAGUCAAACUGGUCAAAUAUGAGGAAAUUUCCAAUAAUCAGAAAAAAAAAAAAAAAAAAAAAACGUGGAAGUACAAGGACGGCGCUUGCAGAGGAAACAGCCCACAGCAGAGGGCAGAGGGCCACAAGGCUAGUAUCAACCGGCUGUGGGAGACAGGACCCCAGCUGGGUCGGUCAGCUUAGCAAAUCUCGGAGACCCUGGCGUAUGGCAGGCAUCAGGGACACGGAGGUAAAGAGCACAUGAUCCUUGUUCUCAAGGACACAGAGGCAGCACGGGGGCCUCACUGUGUACCCUCAGCACUCACGUUCCAUCAGCACCAAAGGCCCCUAACGCGGGCCUGCCAGAUGCUUUUCUGAGCGCUAUCUCUGACCUCGGGGGCCCGCUGAGCCACACACAGGGCAGGCCAGGAGUGACGCACAAUGAACCCCCGAGGGGUAGCUUUCAGCAGUGAGAGAUAAACACCCUAAGCUUCUUGAGCAGCUGGUGGAGCAACUCUGAGGAGUGUUCUCUGUGGCUUCCCAGCUGCCCGACAUGGAGCUCUCCCUCAGCAGGCAUUCCCAGGGUACACUCGGGACGCACGGAAACCGACCUGAGACGGACAGGAAGCUGCACUUUCAGCAGGAGAGUGGCAAGGUCUGCUUCUCCCCUGGACUGCGAUGUGCCGUAUGGAGGAGAGGCAGAGAAGUGGCCACAGACUGGUGAAGAGUGGAAGGCAACAACUGAGAGAAAUGGAGGCAGCUUUGAGCAGGGAGGUGUGAAGGCAAAGAGCGCUCAAAGUUCGGGAAGUUGCCCAGGCCUGCUGAUGGACAUGGGCAUGGGGAGGAGGUGUCCUUUUUAAAGGUUUCCAGUCAGUUUAGUGAAAAACAGAAUGCCGCUCCUCUUGUGUCUGGUUUCACAUCUCCCUACUUCUCCUCCCCCGAAGCGUGAGACCAGAAAGGAGUGCAAAUAAAACCACACUCAACUCAUGCCUUUAGCCACAGUAAGGAGCAGAACAGUGUGGCCUUCACGUUACCUGUGAAUUGAGAAACGAACCAAAGUCCAACAGCACGGCAGCCACCUGCCCACCAUUGCGAGACUCUAGCGGAAGAGUCAGGAGCUGAGGCUCACAAUGCCCAGUCCCAACAUAUUAGGGAAGUGAGUGACCUCAGCAAAAA
Long non-coding RNA from Capra hircus (goat), 9951 nucleotides. RefSeq lists it as uncharacterized. The transcript is spliced from 2 exons. The record is from RefSeq and is a predicted model, not a curated record. Lineage: Eukaryota; Metazoa; Chordata; Mammalia; Artiodactyla; Bovidae.